Molecule: unclassified non-coding RNA, 172 nt
Filed under: uncultured Tarzetta
Lineage: Eukaryota; Fungi; Ascomycota; Pezizomycetes; Pezizales; Pyronemataceae
Description: sequence contains ITS2
Source: RNAcentral
AAACCAUUCGAGACGCGGGUGGAAGCCCGCGGCUCGGUCUUGGGCAUGAGGGAUCGAAACCCUCGGCCUGCAAUCCAACGGCAGACUCCCUGCGUAGCAGUAGCGUGAUAGAAUCGUCAAUCGCUAAUGCGCGACGGCGACGUCUAGCCAUAACCCCCAAAUCUGUCAUAGA